CCUUUGGUGGGCAUCUCUUCUCCCAGACUGCCCUGUUCCAUGAAGCCCCCAGAGCAUUAAGCGACUUGAGCCACACCCUGAGGAGGACAGAGAGAUCUUGGAUUCUUUUUGAAGAGCUGGUGUUUUUCACUGAGAAGCACUAAUUUCUCCUCAGAGAAAUGAGGUCCUAGGGGCAAACUCAGUACAGCGUUGGCCCCUAAAACUGGAGGUCUACCUCUUGGUGUCUUCCAUGGUUAGUCUCCAUUGGAAAACACUCUCACAGCAGGCCUGGAAGGGGCUUCAGCUGUAGACACCUGGCCCAGGCCUCUCUUCAGUUGAGGAUAUGAUGAGCUGCCACACAGGCCCGAACCUCAUUGGCAGUCUUUACUGCUUAUGAAACCUGGGAGGGAAAGGGGGCCUUGUGACUCUGCAAAGCUUCAGAGACUUCCUGAGUGCUAAGCAGCCUCCGCUUAGAGCAUUCCUAGUCGGAACGAGCUUCUCUCCUGGAUGGAAUGUUUCAUCCCGGAGGUCACUGAGACUCAACAGACUCAGACAAUUGUCUUCUCGCCAUCCCUCUGUUGUGGAUGCUGUCAUGUGAUUAGAACAUGCCUCCUAGCUCACUGUGUAGCUAGGAGUCUCAUGGUCUUUACAACCUGCUUGCAACUUGAGAUGACCAUCAUGAAAGGUAGAUCUGGAAAUAUUACUGUCCUAUUUUGAGUGGCAGGCCUAAAAUCAUGAAUCAUAUAUGUAUACACACACACACACACACACACACACACGUAUAUAUAUCUUUUAUAAGCAAGGGUAUAUUUACAUGUUAAGAUUCACAGAUACUUCAUAUAUGUAUGUAUUAAUUCUAUUUUAUAUAGGUAUUACUUAUAUAUUUAUUUUGUAUAUCAACAUUUUUAGGAGGAAAGUGAAUUAUAAGAGAUGUAGAUCAAUAUAAGUUUUAUAUAUGUUAAGCUGAACAUAAAGUCUGUAGUCUCGCUCCUUUUCUUUUCUUUUCUUCUUCUCUUUUUUUAUUGACUAAGUUAUUUAUUCACUUUAUAUCCUGAUCACCGCUUUCCUCCCUCCUUUCCUCUUAGUCCCUUUCUCUCCCCUCCUCUCCCCCACCAUCCCUUCUCCCUUUCUCUCCAGAAAAUGGGAGGCCUUCCAUGGACAUCAAACAGCCUCAGUCUAUCAAGAGGGUUUGCAGUAAGUCUAGGCGCACCCUCUUCCAUUGAGGCAGCCCAGUCAGAGGAAAGGCAUCCAAAGACAGGCAAUGUAUUCAGAGAUAGACCCUGCUCCUGCAUUAGGAGUUCCAACAUGAAGACCCAGCUACACAAUAGUUACAUACAUGUAGGGAGCCUAAGUCCACCCCAUACAUACUCUCUGGUUGGCAGUUUAGUCUCCACGAGCCCCAGUGGGCCCAGGUGAGUUCACUCUGUAGGUUUUCUUGUUCAACCUGACAUUUCUAUUAGUGAUUCUCAGAGGUGGCCUAAUUUGAUGGCUGAACACAGUUUGGAUCCAAACACAUCCUGGAGCAAAGUUGUAACUAAAAGUGCAAGCUGAACAGCCUGAGCCUCCAUCCCUCCUUUUCCUGGCAGUGACAAGGUCUGUGAUGUGUGCCAGGCACCAUGGAAUGAGUAAGACACCGGCAGAGCUUGGUGUUAACACUGUCUGCUAUGACCUACCACUUUUAUGUUUGUUUCUUUAUUGUUCUUUGAGUUCUAUCAUAUUUGACUUCACUUUCAAAACAUUAGUGAACCCAGCAGAGCACACACUUCCCAGAGCCUCUGAGUUUUGCUCUGUUUUCUAGGAUUUCUUGAUCCACAGUCAUCACAGCGGGGCUCCAUUCCUGUUUCUUCCCAUCAUGGAGAACAGGGAGAGCUUAUUUUUCUCUAUAAAUUAUUUUUUUUUCUAAAUCAAAUCUACAAAGAUUAAAAGAUGUAAUGAACAUUAAUAGCGGUUCAGCGCGUCAGUGUUUUAUAGUCUGGGGACGGUCAAAUUAUUUGUUUAUCUUUUGCUGCUGUGUUGUUUGGUUUUCAAACAUGGUCUCAAAUCUUAAAACAGACUAACCUGAAAGUUACUGGUCAUCCAGGCUGACCUUUAACUGUGAGGCAUUCACUUCUCUUAACUGGGUGAGUCCUGGAAUUACCACGAGGCUUGUAUCACCAUGCUUACUCCAUUCAUUUUGUGAAAGCAUUUUGAUUAUACAUAUACAACACACUCACACAUACAGAACACACACAUCUAUAUACAUAUAUACACACAUGUAAGUAUGUGUAUAUAUAUUCAUAUACACAUACACAUAUUAACCAUUAUGGUAUUAAUACAGGUGCUAUCAUUUCUACUGCUGAGAACGGAGCCCAGAAAAAUAUGAAUAUAGACCAAUAUUAAAAUAUAGAUAAACUUAUUAUCCUUAUAUCUAAAUAUUAUCUACACAUACACAUUCACACAUGCACACUACUCCAUAAGAAAUGGCAGCCAUUUAAAGGUAAUAUGUGAGAUGCUUUAUGAAAAAAUAUAGACACAGCCCAUGCAUCAACAUUCCUCAUACAUGUAUAUGUACAUAAUCAAGGAGUUUACGUGAAAAAUGCAAAAUACAGAAAAUACUGCUCUGGGUGGGUUUCAUCUAGAAUCCUUUUGCGUUCACACAUUUCUCUAAUUUCACAUCGUAUGAUUCUGAUAACAAAACAAAGGAUAGACUCAUUUCAGAAGCACCAUUUUAGAAAAAGGUCAUCUGCUCUGAUAAUUCUGUUCAGAAAUGAACGGGGUCGGGGGUUUGGGGGUGUGGCCCACAUGACACAUUUCUAGGGCUCUUUUGUGCUUGAUUUUGUCCCUCUGAGACAGCACAGUGGGCAGAGGAGCCCAAAGGGAACAGGCACAGCACACUCAGAGUUCCCCUCCCCCACUUUGCUCUCUGAAACUCUGCAGCCAACCUUAUUGAAUUCCUCGUAGCGAUCCUGCCCAGUGCCCCGCUGUGGCCCAGCUGCUUUCCGGCACCCUCUCUGAUAACAGAGAGAGGGCGCCCCACACCUGCUUCUGAGACUGGCUCCUUAGGGAUGUUACUGUUGCCUCCUGGAUCCUGUGCAUGCUUGAGAAGGAUCCCCGGAACGAGACAUUAUUAUUUUCUCUUUUCUUCGCGGAAAAGAGGCUAAAAAUAGGCACAGAAGCACCUUACAGCCUCCAGGCUAGUGGCUGGAAAGUCACCGUUCAGAGGUUAACGCGCCAGCAUUAAGACAAAGUAAAGUAGCGAGCGCUCGCGAUGUCACGGACUUGCAGAGUAAAUAGGGGAGACAGGCUGCUCUGACGUGCUGAAUUUAUGAACUUUACUGUUCUGCUCCACCCAGAGCGCUCCCCUGCACUCAUGGGAUGCUGUUGCUGCAUUUGCAAGCCACUGUCUCUUUCACCUCUGAGGCGCUGCAUUUGCAAGCCACUGUCUUUCACCUCUGAGGCCUGGGAACCACAGCUCCCCUGGGGUCGCUCCUUGCAUGGCUUCCGGAGCCUCCAGGGAUCUUCAGGUCUCUCCAGGAACAAUGCUGUGAGCCCGAAACUGCAUUGUCUCAGCCGGAUGUUUUGAGGAGGAUCCAGGGCACGUUUGCCAGCUUCUAAACAGCAUAGCACAACAGCCCCGCUUCUGUGAGUCUCUGCUUUGUGAAUCUGCUUUCUGGACUUGUCCUUGCUCAGCACCCAAAUUAGCUUAACAAGCUACGGAAAUCUCAGCUCGACCUGGAGGCAGCAGUGGCAAGACAGAAACAGAGCUCCGAAUCAAUUGGCCAGAGGCGUGGGGGGUGGGGGAAGACAAAAGAAACAUUGUGUCAAAUUUAUUUUCUGUACUCUUGGGAUUGCAAGGAGAGCCUGAAAAUGCUCACAGCGAGAGUGACUAGGGCCGGCUUGGAUUUUUAGCUAAAAUAAACCAUAUUCAUGUCAAACUGCAAAGGGCACAUUGGUUUACCGCGCGAGGGCAAAGAAGACAAACGGCGAAGUAGCGGCAUCAAAUAAUGAUCUGAAAUUUACCACGGGUUCGCUCGGUACAUCCUUCCCUAACUCGUGUAUAUUUCAUUUAAAUGUAUCCAUCAGUUUAAAUAGGGCACUAGGUCCGUCCCGCCCUCCACCUGUGCUCUCAAUGUUUCUCUGCGUGUCUGCCAGUUUGUGGGAUGCCUGCAGCUAAGAUGAAUCAGAAUACAAAGAGAGGGCUGACAGGUUCGUGUAUGCCCAAGGUGAGCUGUGACCUAAAAUGAGACUAGUUCUAAGGAAAGAUGGAUCACAUGUGUCAUGCAUGCUGGACCAGCAGAUGGCAGCAGAGCUCUGGGCUCCCACCACAGUGAAACUCCGUUCCCUCAUCAGAGUGGUCCUAUGUGCCCUCUGUGUCACUGACCCCAGAACAACAUCUUUGAUUUAUAAUCAUACAUGACUAGCAUCUAUCCCUUUUACUACAAAUCUAUGACAUUAAUUCAGAGGUCACCAUUCUCUGAAUGGGACAUCCUGCUUACAUAAAAAAGAAAAAUAAAGUUUAAAGGCGUGGGGGAAAUCACAGAACAAAAUAGGGGGUAUGUGUGUUUCCCCCGUCUUUGAGCUUCUUAGUCUAUAUUACCCCACAACCAAAACACAAUAUGUUGGUUGAAAGUGUUUUUUUUGCAACUAGUUCCUAGCAUGAGGAAGCAUAAGCCUUUAAUUUCAUCAUCUGGGAAACAGAGACAGGAAGAUGUCUGUGAGCUCAAGGCCAGCCUGGUUUGCAUAAUGAGUUCUGGGUCAGCCAGGUACAAAAUGAGACCCUGUCUAACAACAAACAAACAAACAAACAACUCUUGCUUGGUUGACCAUUCACAAUCUCCCCAUAUUUAAUAAAAAUUUACCCCCAGAACUAUUUUGAAAUACCCUCUAACAUAAUAUGAUUAGAGAUAGUGCCCAGAGCCAAAUUUCACUUUGUCCUUAAAACCGCAGUCAGAGAUUCUCCAGGUCUUCCCAGCUGUAUUUUAAUGGUUUAAUGAUUUUUCAAAGUAGAGGAGUUUGGGAAAUUAUAGGAUUUAACAAAUUGAUGGCAGUUGGCCUUGUACAGGUUUAAUUAAAUUAGGGUUUAAUUGACGAGAUGGAAAGGGGUGGUGGGAUUUUUCUCAUCAGCAUUCCGGGAGCAUCAAUGAAGAUCUGCCUUGCCAGAAAGAGUGUCAUAACCUCCCGAGACACUAGAUGGUGCUGCAGAGUCACUAUGGAAUUUCUAUUACCGGUUUUUAAGACUCUUUGAUCCUACGUUAUUAUUUUUUUUCCUGCUUUCUGAAGAGCUUGCAUCAGAAAACACACCAAAAAAGAGCAGAUAUUUUUAAAAACGCAGUAUUGUCAAUGGAAUCGUGGAAAUUGACGCCCGAGAAAGACGAGAUAGGCAUGCUUCUGCGUGUUUAAAUUUAGAUUCCAUAUUUAGAUUAAUCUUCAACCAAGUAUAACAGUCUAAAGAGUCCUGGAAAUACUUAAUGGCCUUUUGCUGUGGCAUUAAUGAAUUGCAUGAAAUUGAAAUAAGAUUUGCUUGGACGCUA
Mus musculus (house mouse) is the source of this 5489-nucleotide long non-coding RNA. RefSeq annotates it as predicted gene, 52287. The record is from RefSeq and is a predicted model, not a curated record. The transcript has 2 exons. Lineage: Eukaryota; Metazoa; Chordata; Mammalia; Rodentia; Muridae.